UGCUGUAGCCUCUGGAAGGGAGUCAUGGUGUGCAGCUCACACUUAAGUAGUUCUAUUCCUCCUUGUUUAGGGUGAAGGAUCUACUAACUUACUUAGAAUUCUUUUGCGUGGCAGAGACUCCUUAUGAAGAAUCCUGAUUGAUAUGCUGGAACCUGGUGAAGCUCCUGGAGGUAAAACCCAUGAACCUCAAGAGCACUGUUGCAGUGAGCAAAGUAUGGAUGGCAAGGAAAUCCAAGAAGAAUUUUUCAGACCCAGCUGGAAACUAAAGAGGCUAGACCCAGAAGGAAGAGUGUUUGUGAACGCACACUUCUGCUGGAGGUGCAGGUGUUGGAAGGCAGUAUUUGUAGACAUUACAUUAAUGUAAAAUA
Molecule: long non-coding RNA, 368 nt
Organism: Mustela erminea (ermine)
Lineage: Eukaryota; Metazoa; Chordata; Mammalia; Carnivora; Mustelidae
Exons: 5
Source: RefSeq, a predicted model, not a curated record